This 83-nucleotide transfer RNA is filed under the name Microcaldota archaeon. RNAcentral describes it as "tRNA-Ser". It matches the Rfam family "tRNA". Rfam says of the family: Transfer RNA (tRNA) molecules are approximately 80 nucleotides in length. Their secondary structure includes four short double-helical elements and three loops (D, anti-codon, and T loops). The record is from RNAcentral. Lineage: Archaea; Nanobdellati; Microcaldota.
GCCGGAGUGGCAGAGUGGUCAAUGCGCUGGUCUCGAAAACCAGUGUCCGCAAGGACUCGGGAGUUCGAAUCUCUCCUCCGGCG